CUAUACAGCCAUAGCACCCUGAGAACGCCCCAUCUCGCCUGAUCCGGGAAGCUAAGCAGGGUCGGGCCCGGUCAGUGCUUGGAUGGGAGACCAGCUGGGAACAGCGGGUGCUGUGGGCU
Ribosomal RNA from Patagioenas fasciata monilis, 119 nucleotides. NCBI's taxonomy places the organism in Eukaryota, Metazoa, Chordata, Aves, Columbiformes, Columbidae. The record is from Rfam.